RNAcentral lists this long non-coding RNA (3548 nucleotides) under Vitis vinifera (wine grape). RNAcentral describes it as "long non-coding RNA (VVIN_LNC007442)". Lineage: Eukaryota; Viridiplantae; Streptophyta; Magnoliopsida; Vitales; Vitaceae. The record is from RNAcentral.
AGGAAUUGAACCAACUACUUGGCAUUUUUGGAAAUGCUUGUGAAAGAGAGGGUCAUCCUCUUUAUCAUCAUAUCUAUGUCAGUUAAUAUUUGAUUGCCGGUAAAUGCUCACAUAUGUAAGCUAAUGAAUAAGAAGCUACCCCCCUCUACCUCCAUCUUCCCAUCUUAUUACCCUUUUUCUCCUUCCUGCUAUUACACAAUCUGCUGGAUUCUCAAUGUAGAUGACAUAAAGCAAGUUCAAGCCACCCUUUACUGUAUUGGUUAAGGUGGAUGACCCAAAGAAAAGGUCUAGUUGAUGGCUUUGGUAGGUCAGGUGACCAUGUGGAAUCAUUAUAAGAAAAAAUUAAAAAUUUGCCCUGAUUCAUAGAUUGUCCCAAUCCACAGCACAUGGGGCUAGAAUUAUAUAAUGAUAUAUCUGCAAUGGGUCAUCCAAAGAAUUGAGAUACAAAACCUGGCAAGGGCUGUAGUUAGGGGUCCUGUUUCUUUGUUCCCUAAUAACCUAACCAUGAGCCAGUAUAAAGAAUUGGAUAAUCCAGUAUUAUAUUCAGUCAGAAGCGCAUGGAUAUUUGGUGUAGAAGCGUAUCAAAAUGAAACUCACCAAUAAAGUUUAUUUUCCUCUGCUGCAAUAUAAGGGUUUUCUAACAAUGGGAAUGCAAAAUUUUUUUGUCUGUCUUGAAGGUUUCUAGUGGAAAGAGCAGCUGAACAGUACAGAGGGAGGAAUAAAUAAAUACAUCACAGAUGGCCAUCCAGCAUUUGCAUUAUGUGCAUAAUACCCAAGGUUUUUUAUAUGACUCUUCAGAUUUUUACUUAAGCAAUUAAUACAACAUUUUGCCUCUUCACGAGAUAUAUCAAUUGCCUAAAGGGGAUUUAAAGACUCCAACUUUGGACCAGAUACCCUAUUUUACCUCUGCAAGGACUUGUACAGCACAACUGUCACAUACUUGGCUCGAAACCUAUUUGUUGAACCAAGUGCCACCACUGACGGGCCGCUCUUGCCUUUCUGCAUGUAAAGAUGGUUAAGCACUACAUGUUGAGGUCUUGGCAUUGGAGGUGGAAUCUCCACCGCAGAUGAAGGCACAUUGAGCAGUGUCAUUUGCAGGUGUGGAGGAACCAGGGGUGGCUCCUUUGCAAAAUCCUCAGAACCAAGUUCCAAGUUGUUAUAGCUCGAGUCUGGGGACUGUGGGGGUUCAAAACCAGAAAUGCUUUCAAGGUCUUCAGGAACAUAAUCCUGCACAUUACAGUGGGUAAACACCAUAUGUUUCAGUCAGACAUUCCUGAUGGCAGCCAAACCUACUUACAAUGUGUUUUGCAGUAGAUUAACCAUGUCCAACUGGCAAAACCCUAAUUAAAAGGAAAUCAGAACCUAGAUGGCCAUGACAGGAGGGGAAAAAAAGGAACCAGAAAUGUAAGUCAGUCUGCAUCUGCCUGUGUGUGAUACAUCAAGAACUCUAUUAACAACUAUAUUUUAAAAUAGGGUUGAAGCCGGGAAAGUACCAAAAAAGAAUAGUAUAGUACCUGAGAAAAAAAUUUAAAAAAAAAAAAAACCAGCCCCCAAGCAGGCUCAGUAGAAAAGAUCCACCAACAGUUCGGCUGCUCAUUCGUCACACAACCGCAAUACCCUUUUCCAGUGAGGAACCACAAAUACUUCAACCUCUUUUCCUCACCCCCCUUCUUUGUGCCAACUACUGGUCUUGGCAGGGAAAACACCAGUCCAUGUGGUUUUGUUCAAAAAUUCAGAAUGAACUGUUGAAAAUUGGGUAAAAAUUUGAACCUAGUUCAAUCUGAGAUUCUGAUUCUCUUAAUAUUCAGGUUAAAUUUUCAGUAUUCUUUGUCUGUGGGUUUCAGAGACUAAUAUAACCAUGGUUGUUUUAGGAGGUGCUUUAAGCGCAUCUAGGCUCAAGGCAAAACCAGUCCCUAGCUAUAGCCUCACCUACCAACGCACACAUUGUUGGAAAGGCCGGCCUCAUUGUUUUUCCUUUCUAAUUUUUAUUUUUGGAAUUUCUGACAGUAAAUUGUUACUUUAUAUAAUUUCAUUAAUUUUUUGUUGGGAUGAUUCUUUCAAAUGCUUAGAAUCUUGAAAUUUUGNNNNNNNNNNNNNNNNNNNNNNNNNNNNNNNNNNNNNNNNNNNNNNNNNNNNNNNNNNNNNNNNNNNNNNNNNNNNNNNNNNNNNNNNNNNNNNNNNNNNAAUAGGGUAUGUCCUACCAGGAAAGCCCAUUGCCAACCUGCUUUUCAAGAUUUAUGGGCGAAUCAGCACUGUUCAUGCCCUGUCUUUCUUGUCUGAUCUUAAACUUGGGCACUACAUGAAGAUUCCGCCCCGGUGCAUGUACACAGCUCAGGUCUCUGAAGCUCCUAGAACUAAUACAUUAAACCAAUUAUAACUUUUGUACUAACAUUUCAGUAUCAUCUUUUUGUUGGAUUUCCAGCUGGUGGGGACACUGGUUGCUGGUACUGUCAACCUUGCGGUUGCCUGGUGGAUGUUGGGGAGUAUUGAGAACAUCUGUGACGUCGAAACUCUCCAUCCUGACAGCCCCUGGACAUGUCCUAAAUUCCGGGUGACGUUUGAUGCUUCUGUUAUAUGGGGUCUGAUAGGACCACGGAGGCUGUUUGGACCUGGAGGGCUUUACAGGAACCUGGUAUGGCUGUUCCUCAUUGGAGCUGUCUUGCCAGUCCCAGUCUGGGUGAUGAGCAAAAUCUUCCCGGAAAAGAAAUGGAUUCCUUUGAUAAACAUACCGGUUAUAUCUUAUGGCUUUGCUGGUAUGCCACCGGCAACUCCCACCAACAUAGCUAGCUGGCUCAUCACCGGAGCCAUCUUCAACUACUUUGUGUUCCGGUACCACAAGAGAUGGUGGCAGAAAUACAACUAUGUUCUGUCUGCAGCAUUGGAUGCUGGGACUGCAUUCAUGGGAGUUCUUUUGUUCUUUGCUCUGCAGAAUGAGAAUCAUAAUUUGAAGUGGUGGGGAACAAAAUUGGAUCACUGCCCUUUGGCAACAUGCCCAACUCAACCAGGUAUCGUUGUUGAAGGGUGUCCGGUUUUCCAGUAACCAUGUAGCGCCAAAGAUUUGGAUACAAUGUAGAAGAAGGAUGCUAGGGCUGGUAAUAAAAGGAAUUGAACCAACCACUUGGCAUUUUUGGAAAUGCUUGUGAAAGAGAGGGUCAUCCUCUUUAUCAUCAUAUCUAUGUCAGUUAAUAUUUGAUUGCUGGUAAAUGCUCAUAUGUAAGCUAGUGAAUAAGAAGCUACCACCCUCUACCUCCAUCUUCCCAUCUUAUUACCCUUUUUCUCCUUUCUGCUAUUACACAAUCUGCUGGAUUCUCAAUGUAGAUGACAUAAAGCAAGUUCAAGCCACCCUUUACUGUAUUGGUUAAGGUGGAUGACCCAAAGAAAAGGUCUAGUUGAUGGCUUUGGUAGGUCAGGUGACCAUGUGGAAUCAUUAUAAGAAAAAAUUAAAAAUUUGCCCUGAUUCAUAGAUUGUCCCAAUCCACAGCACAUGGGGCUAGAAUUAUAUAAUGAUAUAUCUGCAAUGGGUCAUCCAAAGAAUUGAGAUACAAAAC